Molecule: long non-coding RNA, 2359 nt
Filed under: Olea europaea subsp. europaea
Lineage: Eukaryota; Viridiplantae; Streptophyta; Magnoliopsida; Lamiales; Oleaceae
Source: RNAcentral
CCCAGUUCAGCCGAAAAUGGCCUAAUCUGGGGGGCUCAGAGGUAAGUCCAUCACUAACAAGAAACUUUCAAGUGAGUCUACAAGCAGUUGAGAAAAACCAAAUUAGACCUACUAAAUGGUCAUCGAUCCACAAGGAUCUCUCAAUAAAUCGAACCUAGCCCACAAAACUAGACAAAACCUUGCCAAGAACACAAUACAGGUUUGCCAGCCACAAUCAAGGCCUAAAAUACUGUACCAAUGUUCUACCAUCAUCAAAUAACUACAAGAUUAUCACAAAAAACACAAGUUUUCCAGAUCUAAGAAGAUAAGAAGAAGUAGAGGUGAGAGAACCACAAAGAGAGAGAAAACACAAGAGACAAUUUCAUCCAAAAGAGAGUGCUCGACCGAUUGAUUUGCACCAACCCUCAAAAGUCUUCAAUUAUUGAAGAAUAAAUCUUAGCCUUAGGAUUCGAUCAACGGUCCACAAUAGCCAAGAGAAAGCACAACUCGAUUGACCACUUAUUAACCAAUGCAAAAGUACAAACUGUCCAUAGGAAUACAAGUAGGAAAAAUCACAUUUUCACUUAUGAAAGUGUGGUUUGAGAAACACAACUCCACAGUACACAAAAAGUUUGAUAGAAUUCUUAUAGAAAGACAUUUGACAAUUUUUCAUUGGUUUUUAACAUAACAAACACAGAAAAUGCACCAUACAGAGGUUGUCAAUGUAGCACUUGUAUCAUUUCCAUUCAUAAUUCCUUGUACCUAUGGAAUUAUUCAUUUGACAAAGGCUGGCCUCCGACUCCAAGACAUUGGGAUGCUCCAGUUGUUAAUCCUGGAGUCACUUCAUAUUAAGUGAGAGCUAAAUAAAUGUUGAAACAUUAAUUUAUUAUGCAUGUAUUUUGCCUAAAACCCAUCUAUUAAUUGGCCCAUUAUUUUAGAACCAUCGUCACUAGUUCUUUAUAAAAGCCACUAUAUUAAUUAGUUUGGUAUGGUCCUCAGCCUCUUCAGUUCCUCAUAACUAAUAUACGGGCCCUAAAACCUUGCUUCACUGCUCUUCCGAGAUUUAGCAUUAUGGUUAUUAUUUGUGACAUCAGCUCCAAACCAUCCUCCUCCAUAUCCUGGCGGCGUCAGGUUCACUCCAUUAAGCACCAAAACAUAGACGGCUUUUUUCCCUUUUGAUUGAUAAUCCUUUUCAUCCCGUUAUUCCUAAUAAAGGACUCCACCAGGUAGGGAUACACCCAAUAUUUCCAUGCUUUUCUUUAACAAUUUUUAAAGAAAGAUGGUGCUUCAUGCUGUAGAUUCAGUAAAGAAUACUUGCACGUAACAAAAUGUCGUCCACUAUUCUCAUUCCUUGAAAAGUAAACCUCCAAAUGCAGGCGACAGUUGAAAUAAAAUCUCAAUUGCCUCUUAACUGAAAAGGGUUGAAAAAGAAACAGUGCUAAAACAAAGGGUCAGAAAAAUAUCAUGCCAGGAGAAAGGAACACAGGAUAGAAAAUAUUUUUGCCCUUAUGUUCAACAGGUACACACAUGCAUCUAAUGAUCUAAUACAAUAGGCCACCUAGUGUAGUCGAUUUAUCUAGAAAAAGAAAAAAAAUUGCUUUGGGUAAGGAAGAAGAGAGGAACAAACACGUUUGGAGGGCACAGUCCAACGGAGAAUUGUAUGUUGCAUUCCGGAAUAAACAGGCGUAGUAUAAAAUCAAGGUAAGACAGAGACAAGUUAUAUAUGUUAUUGAUCAAGUAGCUAGCUAGAACAAGAACAUUGUACAGAAGUCAACGUUUGAUUGAUAUUUCUAGUAAUUAAGCAUUUAGAAAGUGAAAACUAACAGUAGUAUCUUAAGCAACAGACAUAUAUAAAUAUAUGCUGCUUAUUUCUUAAAAGAGACUACUGAUUUAAACUUAAUUAUAUAAAUAUUCAUGCUGCUGGUGCAAUUCCUGAGUCAUCGUCAUCGUCAUCGUCAUCAUCGCCUUCAUUUCUUGCACAUAUGUGGAGACAAAUUGCGGCCCUAGCUUUAUUGCCAUUCAACUUGGGGUUAUCGAUCAGCUUCUCAGCACAAAAAAUCACCAUUUUGAGAAACCCAAUAAAGUUUACGUGCAAACAAAAUAUAUAACUCGAUCUAAAGAACAACGAGGUGAUACUCGAAGUAUAUUAGGGUUAGAAAAACAUUCUUCCCCCAUUUAUAGCUUGAACUCUAUGGCUUUUGUGGUUUUAGCCCAUUUUUUCAUUUGAGAGACUUUCACUGCCAAGGAUUCUUGCUUUUCGAAUCACUUUUUAUGCUCAAGAUCUAUACCGGAUACAAAAAGGAGAAAACUUGACAUGGUGUGGUUAAUCUCCAUAGAUUUAUUGCUGAGUGGAGAAAACGGGACCAUGCAUGAGUUAAAC